Non-coding RNA from Dipodomys ordii (Ord's kangaroo rat), 74 nucleotides. The record is from Rfam. Lineage: Eukaryota; Metazoa; Chordata; Mammalia; Rodentia; Heteromyidae.
GGGAAGGUGACUCAGUUGGUAGAGUGCUUGCCUCACAUGCAUGAGGCCCUGGGUUCAAUUUCUCAGCUCCACCU